GGAUUAGAUACCCUGGUAGUCCACGCCGUAAACGAUGUCUACUAGUUGUCGGUUGUCUUGUACGACGGGUAACGCAGCUAACGCGAUAAGUAGACCGCCUGGGGAGUACGGCCGCAAGGUUAAAACUCAAAGGAAUUGACGGGGGCUCACACAAGCGGUGGAGCAUGUGGCUUAAUUCGAAGCAACGCGAAGAACCUUACCCAGGUUUGACAUACAUGGAUGCAAUUUGGGGAUAACCCGAAACGCUGCUCUUCGGAGUGAAACAUGUACAGGUGUUGCAUGGCCGUCGUCAGCUCGUGCUG
This 302-nucleotide ribosomal RNA is filed under the name uncultured bacterium. RNAcentral describes it as "bacterial SSU rRNA". It matches the Rfam family "Bacterial small subunit ribosomal RNA", at positions 775 to 1067 of the family's 1533-position model. The record is from RNAcentral.